GGGCGUGGCGCGGCUACAAUGCAGUCGAGCGGACGAACGGAGCUUGCUCCUGUAAUCUCGCCGGACGGGUGAGUGUGCCUAUGAAUCUGCCGGGUGUAGGACUGCGAUAUUUCCGAAGGAACGCUAAUACCGCAUACGUCCUGAUUGAGAAAGCAGGGGACCUUCGGGCCUUGCGCUUUCAGAUGACCCUAGGUCGGAUUACCUAGUUGGUGAGGUAAUGGCUCACCAAGGCGACGAUCCGUAGCUGGUCUGAGAGGAUGAUCAGUCACACUGGAACUGAAACACGGUCCUGACUCCUACGGGAGGCUCCAGUGGGGAAUAUUGGACAAUGGGCGAACGCCUGAUCCAAACAUGCCGCGUGUGUGAAGAAGGUCUUCGGAUUGUAAUUUACUUUAAGUUGGGAGGAAUGGUUGUAGAUUAAUACUCUGCAUUUUUGACGUUACCGACUUAAUAAGCACCGGCCAAAUCUGUGCCGGCAACCGCGGUACUACAGACGGUGCAAGCGUUAAUCGGAAUUACUGGGCCUAAAGUGCGCGUAGGUGGUUCGUUAAAUUGGAUGUGAUAUCCCCGGGCUCAACCUGGGAACUGCAUCCGGAACUGGCGAGCUAGAGUAUGGUAAAUUGUGGUGGAAUUUCCUGUGUAGCAUUGACUGCGUAGAUAUAGGAGGGAACACCAGUGGCGAAAGCCACCACCUGGACUGAUACUGACGCUGAGGUGCUGAAAGCGUAAGGAGCAAACAGGAUUAGAUACCCUGGUAUUCCACGCCGGAUACGAUGUCCCUAGCCGAUGAGAGCCUUGAGCUCUUAGUGUCCCACCUUACGCAUUAGCAUGACCGCCUGGAGAAUACCGCCGCGAGGGUUACACUCAAAUGACUUGACCUCGGACGCAAUUGACGGGGGGCACCAUGAGGUGUAGUUCGAAGUCGCUCAAAUCAACCUUACCGGACUGACUUCCCAUGACUGUCCUCAUCUGACAUCGCUGCCUACAGGAGCUUCGCUUCAGGUGCUGCAUGACUGUCGUCAGCAUCGUGUCCUGCAUGUGGGUUAGUCCGUAGCGAAGCUACCCUAGUACUGAUUACCUGCACGUAUGUCGAGCACUCUAUGGAGACUGCUGUGACACUGCGGAUGAACGAUGCGGAUGACGUCAGGUCAUAUGCCACUCACGUGCCGCCUACGACUGGCUACAUCGUCUCGUCAUGGUGCAACUCAGCUGAGCUUACGCCUACAACACAUACCGCAAAUCUCGGGAUUUGCA
RNAcentral lists this ribosomal RNA (1254 nucleotides) under Pseudomonas koreensis. RNAcentral describes it as "bacterial SSU rRNA". It matches the Rfam family "Bacterial small subunit ribosomal RNA", at positions 31 to 1309 of the family's 1533-position model. Lineage: Bacteria; Pseudomonadati; Pseudomonadota; Gammaproteobacteria; Pseudomonadales; Pseudomonadaceae. The record is from RNAcentral.